UACGGAGGGUGCGAGCGUUGUCCGGAAUUAUUGGGCGUAAAGAGCUCGUAGGCGGCCAGUUGCGUCUGCUGUGAAAUCCCGGGGCUCAACCCCGGGCGUGCAGUGGAUACGGGCAGGCUGGAGGCAGGCAGGGGAGAACGGAAUUCCCGGUGUAGCGGUGAAAUGCGCAGAUAUCGGGAGGAACACCGGUGGCGAAGGCGGUUCUCUGGGCCUGUACUGACGCUGAGGAGCGAAAGCGUGGGGAGCGAACAGG
RNAcentral lists this ribosomal RNA (253 nucleotides) under uncultured bacterium. RNAcentral describes it as "partial 16S ribosomal RNA". It matches the Rfam family "Bacterial small subunit ribosomal RNA", at positions 524 to 776 of the family's 1533-position model. The record is from RNAcentral.